UACGGGGGGUGCAAGCGUUGCUCGGAAUCACUGGGCGUAAAGGGCAUGUAGGUGGGUUUGUAAGUCGUGUGUGAAACCCCUGGGCUUAACCUGGGAAUGGCACUCGAUACUGCAGAUCUUGAAUGUUCGAGAGGAUGGCAGAAUUCCUGGUGUAGAGGUGAAAUUCGUAGAUAUCAGGAGGAAUACCGGAGGCGAAGGCGGCCGUCUGGCGCGACAUUGACACUGAGGUGCGACAGCGUGGGGAUCAAACAGG
RNAcentral lists this ribosomal RNA (253 nucleotides) under uncultured bacterium. RNAcentral's name for it is "partial 16S ribosomal RNA". It matches the Rfam family "Bacterial small subunit ribosomal RNA", at positions 524 to 776 of the family's 1533-position model. The record is from RNAcentral.